RNAcentral lists this ribosomal RNA (492 nucleotides) under uncultured bacterium. Its description in RNAcentral is "partial 16S ribosomal RNA". It matches the Rfam family "Bacterial small subunit ribosomal RNA", at positions 29 to 507 of the family's 1533-position model. The record is from RNAcentral.
AGUGAACGCUGGCGGUAGGCCUAACACAUGCAAGUCGAACGGCAGCACAGUAAGAGCUUGCUCUUACGGGUGGCGAGUGGCGGACGGGUGAGGAAUACAUCGGAAUCUACUUUUUCGUGGGGGAUAACGUAGGGAAACUUACGCUAAUACCGCAUACGACCUACGGGUGAAAGCAGGGGAUCUUCGGACCUUGCGCGAUUGAAUGAGCCGAUGUCGGAUUAGCUAGUUGGCGGGGUAAAGGCCCACCAAGGCGACGAUCCGUAGCUGGUCUGAGAGGAUGAUCCGCCACACUGGAACUGAGACACGGUCCCGACUCCUACGGGAGGCAGCAGUGGGGAAUAUUGGACAAUGGGCGCAAGCCUGAUCCAGCCAUACCGCGUGGGUGAAGAAGGCCUUCGGGUUGUAAAGCCCUUUUGUUGAGAAAGAAAAGCAGCAGGUUAAUCCCCCGCUGUUCUGACGGUACCCAAAGAAUAAGCACCGGCUAACUUCGUG